GAUGCAGAUGAUGUCCAAAGUGUCACCUACUCUCUGAUUGAAUUUAAAAACUCUGGACACAGAAGAAGGCAUCCUGAACCAGAAGGGGGCGCUGUUUACUCUGAGGUUAACAGAACCUCUCCAGGGGAGCUGAGUCCUGCAGCAGCCGACGUCGUUUAUUCUGAAGUAGGAAGAAAACUUUAUGAUGAUACCGCCAUGUAGACCUCAGCUUUUAUAACAAAAAUAAAAGAUACCAAAACUAUAAUCCUACCUACUGAAAUUAGAAGCAUUUUAAAUUUUGCGACAAUCUGAUCAACUACUUUUCUAUCAUGUUCCAUAGAUUUUGUAAUUGCCCAAAAUUUCCCAUUUGUAGAUGUAAGACAUUCAUUGUUCUUUUUAUCUUUCAUGAUACUCAGUGACGAAUAUUUCCAUUUGAUUUUGGGUCACAGAUGUGUAUU
Molecule: long non-coding RNA, 437 nt
Organism: Poecilia latipinna (sailfin molly)
Lineage: Eukaryota; Metazoa; Chordata; Actinopteri; Cyprinodontiformes; Poeciliidae
Exons: 3
Source: RefSeq, a predicted model, not a curated record